Molecule: ribosomal RNA, 457 nt
Filed under: uncultured bacterium
Lineage: Bacteria
Description: bacterial SSU rRNA
Rfam family: Bacterial small subunit ribosomal RNA
Source: RNAcentral
GAUGAACGCUGGCGGUAUGCCUAACACAUGCAAGUCGUACGAGAGUUUUUAACUCUAGUGGCGGACGGGUGAGUAACACGUGAGAAUUUGCCUUUAGGAGGGGGACAACAAUUGGAAACGAAUGCUAAUACCCCAUAUGCUUUCGAGUGAAAUGGAUUUUAUCCGCCUAGAGAGAAGCUCGCGGCUGAUUAGCUUGUUGGUAAGGUAAGAGCUUACCAAGGCGACGAUCAGUAUCUGGUUUGAGAGGGAGAUCCCCCACACUGGUACUGAGACACGGACCAGACUCCUACGGGAGGCAGCAGUGAGGAAUAUUGGUCAAUGGGCGCAAGCCUGAACCAGCCAUGCCGCGUGCAGGAAGACGGUCCUAUGGAUUGUAAACUGCUUUUAUACAGGAAGAAACCCUCCCACGUGUGGGAGCUUGACGGUACUGUAGGAAUAAGGAUCGGCUAACUCCGUG